This 1143-nucleotide ribosomal RNA is filed under the name Triticum aestivum (bread wheat). RNAcentral describes it as "partial small subunit ribosomal RNA". The record is from RNAcentral. Lineage: Eukaryota; Viridiplantae; Streptophyta; Magnoliopsida; Poales; Poaceae.
AUGCGUGCUCUGGAGCUGUUGGACGAGCUGGUGGCAGCAAAUCCGUCGUGUUGUUUACUGUCAACAAAUGCAGUCAAUGGCACCGAUGCUGCAGAAACUAUCCGCCUGCGUGCCACGGUUGGGAACCAAACCAUGCUGUUUUUGGUCGAUUCGGGCAGUACACACAGUUUUGUUAAUGUCUCCUUUGCUCAACGCAUUGCUGCAACGACAACGGUGAUACCCACAAUUGUUGUCAGAGUAGCCAAUGGGCAAAACUUACAACGCACUGAACUUGUCCCGAAGCUGAACCAGACAGUUCAAGGUCACAAGUUCGCUACAGACAUGAGAGUCCUGCAACUCGGGGUCUAUGACGCAGUUUGGGGAGUGGAUUGGCUUGCCCAGCAUAGUCCGAUGCAGUGCGAUUGGAAACUGAAAACAAUGCAGUUUGUCAGCGAAGGUGCAGCCGUUCAUCUCACCGGCGUCCGAUCGGAUGAGACACCAGCCAUCACAGCCUUGGAUGCAUCACAGCUGUGGCAGAUGCAGGAAGCAAAUGAGAUUUGGGGAGCUGCUCUUGUGGACUUACAGACCUUGCCCUCACACAAUCCAGAAGCUCCUCUUCCUCCUGUUAUCAAGCAAAUCCUGACAGAUUUCAGUGACGUAUUCGAGGAACCAACAACACUUCCUCCUCACAGACAGUAUGAUCAUGCCAUCAACCUCGAACUAGGAGCCGCUCCCGUUAACUGUCGACCUUACCGUUACUCUCCCUUGCAAAAAGAUGAGAUCGAACGGCAAGUAGCUGAAAUGUUGCGCACUGGGCUAAUCACUCACAGUAUGAGUCCAUUCGCGGCUCCCGUGCUCUUGGUGAAGAAGAAAGAUGGGACAUGGCGGUUUUGCGUCGAUUACCGCCGCCUCAACACAGUCACAAUUAAAAACAAGUUUCCAUUACCAGUCAUCGAUGAACUAUUGGAUGAACUCGCGGGGGCGGCCUUCUUUUCCAAGAUUGACCUGAGAGCUGGAUACCACCAAAUACGCAUGAGGGAAGGUGAUGAAGAGAAAACAGCCUUUAAAACACAUCAUGGGCACUUUCAGUUUCGAGUCAUGCCGUUCGGCGUCACUAACGUUUCAAUGCGUGAUGAACUCAGUACUCUCCGGGCCAAAUCGUAA